RNAcentral lists this long non-coding RNA (2730 nucleotides) under Schizosaccharomyces pombe (fission yeast). Lineage: Eukaryota; Fungi; Ascomycota; Schizosaccharomycetes; Schizosaccharomycetales; Schizosaccharomycetaceae. The record is from RNAcentral.
CGUAUCUAACGCAUUUCACCGUAUGCUCCACGAGUAUGUGUAGUAUCAUAUGCAUCUAAAAUCCUUGACUGGUCCUCUUCACCUUGAGAAAAAGCAUACCCUCUCUGUUUACGCAUUCUCUGCAUCUGUCUUAUUUUCCUGAUAGCUUUAUGAAACCCGACAAUACGAGGUCUAUAGUCUGUGACAUUAUAUUUCUGAAUUUCUUGAACGUAAUGAUACUCCUCAGGAUAAUACAUUCUGGAUGAAUAUUUCCACACAAAGUCACGCAUCAGUGCUAUUGUUGGCAAAACAAGUAGGGAAGCCCAAAAUUUUAGAUUCCCGUAAAGAUGUGGAAUUAUUCCGUAGUACUCCUUUGAAAAUCCGAUAGCGGGUGCUGCAACAGCAUAAAUGGGCAUAAACACUAUCCAUAGCAAGAAAGAUCCGAGGGUAGCAAUUACAGUGUAUUGAGUCCAAUGAUUACUAAUUAAGGCAGCCUUACCUAAAACAGUAGCUAGUAUUGCAGCGUAAAGUGUAGUACCCCACACCCAAUGACCUGACGCGAGACCAUCCUUAUUAGGACCAUCAUAGUAAAACACAGCAAUGGAACAAAGAAAUAGAAGAAGUGAAUGAUAAAACCCAUUUGUUAUCCAAGACCAAAACCUUUUUAAGUUAAAAAAUUCACUUCUUUGACCUAAUUGAUAAAGUUGCGGAUACUGAAAAAGUUGACCAGCGCUUACAAACUGAUCAAAUAUACCUAUUACCACCGGUGGAAGAACAGUAAAAAGCACAUUAUACAGUGAAAUAGACCAAGACUCAAAAAUUACCUGGCCGGAAAAUGCAUUGCAAAAAGCGUACCAAAACUGAGUCAUGUAGAGAGCAAUGUUUUUGUAAAACGAGUACAAAAUAAGUUUGCUGAGACGCUGAUAACACCAAGAUCCGUGAACAAGUAACAAUUUUUUUAAAUAGCAAAAUUGGGAAAUUGAAAAAUCAGAGCUUCGAACUGCUUGUAACCCUUCCAUACCGCUGAUUCCAACCCCAACAUGGGCAGCUUGAAUCAUCGGCACAUCAUUAGCGCCAUCUCCAAUAGCUAAUAGCACUUCACCUGUAUUUCUUUUAACCAUCUUAACGAUCAAAGCCUUCUGUAAAGGUGAGACACGACAACAUAUCACGGCACGGCAUAAAGAAGCCAGUUCAAAGAAUCGGCGUUCUAGGCUAAAAUCUAAUGCAUAAGUAAGUGAAACCCCAUCUAUAACCAAAGCCAUUGAUUCAACAUUUCCAGUGGUAGCUUCGUUUCGAUAUAUAGAAGAUAACUUAGCCAUUACGCUUUCAGCAGUAGCCUCUUUCGUUUCUUCGUUCACUAUAACUAAACCCAUGUCUUCAUCAAUCAACUUGCAACUCAUGCCAAUAUUAAUUGCGGUCUCUUGUCGAUCACCGGUCAGAACCCAGAUUUUUAUUCCAGCUGUUUGUAAAGUUGAGAUAGUAUCAGGAACUCCAUCUUGCAGUCUAUCUUCUAUAGCGGUAGCUCCCAGCAAGAUUAAAUCCUUUUCAAUUUCUUCAGCAGCAUCCAUAAGCUUCUGAGCACGGUCAACCAGACUAGAGGCUGCAGUUUCAAACACUGUUGACCACCUUUGAUAUUCGUCUUCCGGGACUUCCCGCAUAGCAAUACAAAGCGUACGUAAACCCACGGUAGCAUAAUCUUCAAGAUGAUGAAUCGUAGUUUGUAAGUACGGGUUAUCGGAUGCUAACCUUUCCAUAAUGACUGUGUCAGCACCUUUAACGUAUAAACGAAUUUUUCCAUCAGGACAACGAAAAACUAUUGACAUCCUUUUGCGAGUAGAAUUAAAUUCGCAAAUAUGUAAUAGUUCAUAACUUUCAUCUUUUCCAAAAAUACUUACAGUCACUAAAUGCGGUUUCCUCGCUAGAAACUUAUAACCAAUGGAUGCAGCACCUUUCACUAAGGCACCUUCAUCCGGUGAAGAAGCUUGAUAUUUAAUUGAAUUAGUGGAUUCAUCAUACUCUGGGAUAACCGUAUGGCAAAUAGAAAGAACUAGUAAGAACUGAUGUAUAAGGCUUGCAUUUUCACUAUGUUUGAGAUUUUCUUUAAGCGUAUCAAAAUCGUAUAUGUACAUAUCAGAAUCAAGGUCUUCUGAGGUAAACUGACGAUCUUCAGGAAUAACAUCAGCAUAUGCAACACCGGCUAUAGUGCAUUGACGAAAUUCCAUUUGAUUUCUCGUCAAUGUACCUGUUUUGUCGCUAAAAAUAUAUCCAACCUGACCCAAUUCUUCAACUAGAGAAGAUGUGCGGCAUGCAGCUGGAGUAUCAGUUUCCUCAUUGUACAUAUCAAGGUCACUGCUGAUUAGCUGUGCCUGUAUAUAUCGGACUAACUCAAAAGUAACGAACAAAGAAAUUGGCACAAGAUUUGAGUAGAGAAUCCAGAAAGUCAGCAACCCUUUGAAAAACAUGCCGGCCCUGUUGGAAGUAUAUUUAACAUAAGAUAAAGCUGAUCCAUAAACCGAACGAUGAAUGAGAGCUCCAAGUGAAGAGGCAAAACAAAGAAACACAAAGAUGCAUAAUAAAAACAGAAUCUGUGAGUUCACUUGCUUCUCGACGGAAGUUCGUUUAAUGGGUGUUUCUGUAGUGUUCUUCAUAAGUUUAGAUUCAUGACCAGUAAAUACAACAAUGCCAUACACCCAAGGCGUAUUACGAAGCUGAGCACCACGAAGCAAUAACUGAUCGGGAGAUAAUGGAAGU